UACAGAGGGGGCAAGCGUUGUUCGGAAUUACUGGGCGUAAAGGGCGCGUAGGCGGCCUGUUAAGUCGAACGUGAAAUCCCCGGGCUCAACCCGGGAACUGCGUCCGAUACUGGCAGGCUUGAAUCCGGGAGAGGGAUGCGGAAUUCCUGGUGUAGCGGUGAAAUGCGCAGAUAUCAGGAGGAACACCGGUGGCGAAGGCGGAUCUCUGGGCCGAUACUGACGCUGAGGAGCGAAAGCGUGGGGAGCGAACAGG
RNAcentral lists this ribosomal RNA (253 nucleotides) under uncultured bacterium. RNAcentral's name for it is "partial 16S ribosomal RNA". It matches the Rfam family "Bacterial small subunit ribosomal RNA", at positions 524 to 776 of the family's 1533-position model. The record is from RNAcentral.